RNAcentral lists this non-coding RNA (21 nucleotides) under Mus musculus (house mouse). Lineage: Eukaryota; Metazoa; Chordata; Mammalia; Rodentia; Muridae. The record is from RNAcentral.
AACACGGCUUAAAAGAGUUAC